CGGAGGGUGCAAGCGUUAUCCGGAUUCACUGGGUUUAAAGGGAGCGUAGGUGGGUUGGUAAGUCAGUGGUGAAAUCUCCGAGCUUAACUUGGAAACUGCCAUUGAUACUAUCAGUCUUGAAUAUUGUGGAGGUCAGCGGAAUAUGUCAUGUAGCGGUGAAAUGCUUAGAUAUGACAUAGAACACCAAUUGCGAAGGCAGCUGGCUACACAUAUAUUGACACUGAGGCUCGAAAGCGUGGGGAUCAAACGGGAUUAGAUACCCUGGUAGUCCACGCCCUAAACUAUGGAUACUCGACAUACGCGAUACACUGUGUGUGUCUGAGCGAAAGCAUUAAGUAUCCCACCUGGGGAAGUACGAUCGCAAGAUUG
Molecule: ribosomal RNA, 369 nt
Filed under: uncultured organism
Description: bacterial SSU rRNA
Rfam family: Bacterial small subunit ribosomal RNA
Source: RNAcentral